Molecule: ribosomal RNA, 253 nt
Filed under: uncultured bacterium
Lineage: Bacteria
Description: partial 16S ribosomal RNA
Rfam family: Bacterial small subunit ribosomal RNA
Source: RNAcentral
UACGAAGGGGGCUAGCGUUGUUCGGAAUUACUGGGCGUAAAGGGCGCGUAGGCGGCUCGGCAAGUUGGAUGUGAAGGCCCAGGGCUCAACCCUGGAAUUGCAUUCAAGACUGCCUUGCUUGAAUUCGGUAGAGGUUGGUGGAAUUCCCAGUGUAGAGGUGAAAUUCGUAGAGAUUGGGAAGAACACCAGUGGCGAAGGCGGCUCACUGGCCCGAUACUGACGCUGAUGCACGAAAGCGUGGGGAGCAAACAGG